AAGAAGCGGGAGCUGGAGAGAGGAGGUCAUUCAUGUUCCCACAGAAGAGCUGAUCUCUAUCACACCGCAGCUUCUCCAUGGACCCAUCAUCUCCACAUAGGCAGAGAGAAGGAGUAGCACGGGGGUGUCAUGCCCCCCACCCUGCCCCGCCAAGAAAGAGUCCGGUCCCACCAACAGGGGUACCUGCCGGCCUGCUGUGCGCUGGCUUCGCAUCCUGGUCCAGGGGCCGAUGAGACCCAGGCUCUGGCCCCGGGAGCCGGGUGGGGGAAAAGGCCAAGCAGACAGACACUCAGGACAUAAGACAGAGAGCUGAGCCCUGGGAGGCCGGCCCAACGUGCUGGGGGGACCAAAGCUGAAAUCCUCCUGGGGAGGGCUGUCCCCGAGGGGCCCUGGGUGCCGGUGGCCUUCAGACAGGGCGUAGGGAAGAAUCAUAGGAAGAUGCAGCCAUGUCGUUCCUCAGGGUCUCCCGUGUGGACCCCACGGGAAAGUGGGUUGACAGCCGAGCCCUGAGCCAGUCUGUGCUGCUUCUGGAAGGAGGUCUCCUCCUGAUCUUGCUUCCCUUUCUGCCUGGCCCAGGAAGCUCGGGGGGGGUGGACAAAUCGGACCGUCCUGCGCUCGGCGCCCUUCAGCCUCAAAUCAGUGGUCUAGAGCUGCAUCUGUCAUGUGAACAAACCUUCAAUACAGAUGACGGUGAUUGGGGUCUGCCCAGAAGGACCCGAUCCUGCCCACCUUUCCAGUGAUGUCCCCACGGCUGCAGGAAUUACCCACUGGGCCCAGGGACACUGGCCGUGGUCUCAGCCAAUGUGCCGCGCCGCGCCGCGCCAAGCCAGCAGGUCCAGGCGGGGGCACAGGAAAUUCCCUUUGGGGAGCCGCCUGAUCCAUCAACAGGGAUGGGGCUCCUUCCUGGACCACUCACGGGACCCGGGGAUGCCUUGGCUGGGUGACGUGAGGGAGGCAUUUGCUGGGGGCACAAAAUCUGAGAGGGUACCCUACUUCCCACCCAUUGGGAUGGCUGUUAUCAAAAAAGGAAAACCCAGAAAAUAACAAUAGCUUUAUCUUCAGGCUAAAGAGCGUUGUUCCUUGCAAAGCUGUGUCUCUGUCUGGGCAGAGUGGGUCCUCCAUGGCUGGCCUCCCCAAGGGUGACGUCAAAUCUGUGGCUCAUCGUGUUCUUCUUAAACGAGUGUUGUCCUAGGGACAAGAUUCGCCCGUGGUCGUUAGGGGCAGUGGACAGGAUACGUGGGAACAGUGCGUGCAAGUUGUACAUCUGUUCUGCCUUCGGGUCCUGCCUCCCAGCUAUCAUCAUAUCAGCUCAGUGGUGAGUGGACCACUCUGGGGAAUCCUUGCCCUGCACUCGGCCCCUCCUGGACCUGCCCUGGAGUCCUCAUGGUGGGAGCACCUGAGAGGCGGGACCACCCAUCACGAGCGCCUGCAGGUGUGGCAGGAACCACAUGGGAGUGCAAGUGGACACGCGCGAUUCACGUUCUGCUCCUCAGCAAAGCGGGCUGUCACCAGGUGUAAUACAUCCAUACCUUGCUGACAUUUUCUGUUCUCUGCAGAGAUUUUACCAAGGUUUACCUAAAC
Molecule: long non-coding RNA, 1581 nt
Organism: Equus caballus (horse)
Lineage: Eukaryota; Metazoa; Chordata; Mammalia; Perissodactyla; Equidae
Source: Ensembl